GCUCAUUUAAGGGAUAGCUCAGUCGGUAGAGCGUGAGACUUUUAAAUCUCAGGGUGAUGGGUUCGAGUCCCACACUCGGCCGGGCA
Podarcis lilfordi (Lilford's wall lizard) is the source of this 86-nucleotide non-coding RNA. NCBI's taxonomy places the organism in Eukaryota, Metazoa, Chordata, Lepidosauria, Squamata, Lacertidae. The record is from the annotation of a GenBank genome assembly.